This is a non-coding RNA of Caenorhabditis elegans, 21 nucleotides long. NCBI's taxonomy places the organism in Eukaryota, Metazoa, Nematoda, Chromadorea, Rhabditida, Rhabditidae. The record is from Ensembl.
UUCUUUUCUGAAAGGUGUCCA